Molecule: non-coding RNA, 120 nt
Filed under: Candidatus Nitrotoga fabula
Lineage: Bacteria; Pseudomonadati; Pseudomonadota; Betaproteobacteria; Nitrosomonadales; Gallionellaceae
Description: ALIL
Rfam family: ALIL pseudoknot
Source: RNAcentral
CGCUUUUUUUGCCCGGGCGGAGCUCGACCGCAAACUCAAAUUCUGAGAGAUUUUAUCGACCGGCACCACGAUACCCACGGGGUCGGGUUAUUGAUUCCAUGCCGCUGGCAGCGCAACCCG